RNAcentral lists this ribosomal RNA (106 nucleotides) under uncultured bacterium. RNAcentral describes it as "partial 16S ribosomal RNA". It matches the Rfam family "Bacterial small subunit ribosomal RNA", at positions 1379 to 1482 of the family's 1533-position model. The record is from RNAcentral.
CCUUGUACACACCGCCCGUCAAGCCACGAGAGUGGGCAGUACCCGAAGUCGCUGACCCAACCCUCCGGGGAGGGAGGUGCCGACGGUAAGGCUCAUGAUUGGGACU